Molecule: small nucleolar RNA, 126 nt
Organism: Pongo abelii (Sumatran orangutan)
Lineage: Eukaryota; Metazoa; Chordata; Mammalia; Primates; Hominidae
Source: Ensembl
AGCCACCGCACCCGGCCGGGCUGUAUUCUUACACUGACUGUAUAGAAAGAGGAGAUAGAGUAAACCUACCCCAUAUAUACUUCAGCCCACGCCCUGUGCCUGUUCUGUAUUAUGAAGCUGGGUUGG